This 507-nucleotide ribosomal RNA is filed under the name uncultured bacterium. RNAcentral's name for it is "partial 16S ribosomal RNA". It matches the Rfam family "Bacterial small subunit ribosomal RNA", at positions 30 to 523 of the family's 1533-position model. The record is from RNAcentral.
AUUGAACGCUAACGGCAUGCUUAACACAUGCAAGUCGAACGGCAGCACAGUCGUAGCAAUACGAUGGGUGGCGAGUGGCGGACGGGUGAGUAAUGUAUAGGAAUCUGCCUUAUAGUGAGGGAUAACCUGGGGAAACUCGGGCUAAUACCGCAUAAUCUCUACGGAGCAAAGUGGGGGACCUUCGGGCCUUACGCUAUAAGAUGAGCCUAUAUUGGAUUAGCUAGUUAGUGGGGUAAAGGCCUACCAAGGCGACGAUCCAUAGCUGGUCUGAGAGGAUGAUCAGCCACACUGGGACUGAGACACGGCCCAGACUCCUACGGGAGGCAGCAGUGGGGAAUAUUGGACAAUGGGGGAAACCCUGAUCCAGCAAUGCCGUGUGUGUGAAGAAGGCCUUCGGGUUGUAAAGCACUUUUAGCGGGGAAGAAAAAGUUCAAAGCUAAUAAUUUUGAGCCUUGACGUUACCCGCAGAAAAAGCACUGGCUAACUCUGUGCCAGCAGCCGCCGUAA